CAGGCCUGUUCACAGUAGGACUCAGUUGACGAGAGACGGUUACUCUGCAGUACGUUCAACUGUAAGGUGCAGUAGCAGUCCUGUAUGACGCGUACCAGUGAGGCGAAGGAAUACUGAGAGAGGUCACAUCGAAGUACGAUCGCUAAGGUGCAUUAAAGAUUAGCCAGUGGAGCAGCCCGUAUAGCGAGCUGCUGGCUACAGUGGAUUCACGGCCGUGUAGCUCGACUGGAUAUGACACACGGAGACAUAGCCGGGCUGAAGAGCAUUCGGGAUCACCUGAGCAGCAGGUUCAUGCAUGUAAACAGUUCGUACUGUGAAGCAUCCUGUAUAGCCAGGCAUCGAGUGAGAGACACGUCUACAGGUGCUAGCGCGUUCUCCGGAAUGAUGAGGACGAGCGUUGGGGGCGCGUCUGCUAAAGAGGUGGAUGGUGGGCAAAAACGGUCGGUCUGCGGCGCCGGAACUAUCCGGUAGGCAACCGGGCAACAAUCGUCAGGUCAAUGGGAAUAUCCCACAGAAAAGUGGGGUCAAUCUCCUAAACAGGGCACAUUAUCCGAGUGUGGGUGACCAGUCCCCCACGGGUAGAACCCUCUCGACUAACAUCGUUUCAAAAUACCCCGGUG
Molecule: ribosomal RNA, 620 nt
Filed under: uncultured archaeon
Lineage: Archaea
Description: partial 16S ribosomal RNA
Rfam family: Archaeal small subunit ribosomal RNA (bases 188-582)
Source: RNAcentral